This 73-nucleotide transfer RNA is filed under the name Chloroflexi bacterium HGW-Chloroflexi-10. RNAcentral describes it as "tRNA-Arg". It matches the Rfam family "tRNA". From Rfam's summary of the family: Transfer RNA (tRNA) molecules are approximately 80 nucleotides in length. Their secondary structure includes four short double-helical elements and three loops (D, anti-codon, and T loops). The record is from RNAcentral. Lineage: Bacteria; Bacillati; Chloroflexota.
GCCCUCGUAGCUCAAUGGAUAGAGUAACUGACUUCGAAUCAGCAGGUUGGGGGUUCGAGUCCCUCCGGGGGCA